This 265-nucleotide unclassified non-coding RNA is filed under the name Glomeraceae sp. RNAcentral's name for it is "partial contains 5.8S ribosomal RNA and internal transcribed spacer 2". The stretch from base 1 to 65 matches the Rfam family "5.8S ribosomal RNA", at positions 84 to 154 of the family's 154-position model. The record is from RNAcentral. Lineage: Eukaryota; Fungi; Glomeromycota; Glomeromycetes; Glomerales; Glomeraceae.
GUGAAUCAUCAAAUUUUUGAACGCAGAUUGCACUCUCCUCGGAGAGUAUGCCUGUUUGAGGGUCAGCCUAUAAAAAAUCGACAUCGUUGCUGUUUUGCGGUGCGUUCGUAGGAAAUUGGGUUAUCUUAAAUCCUUCUGAUUUAAGCGACUUAAAAUAUUAUUUUGGUUCCGUGAAUGUUUCUAAGAUCUAUUUAUUUACAUGAUUAAGGUAUUGAUUUUUAUUAGACGUGAUUAUAAUAUCGGACUGCGCCUAUAAUAUUACAUC